CAAAGCAGCCAACAAAGCCACAGCCACCUCGGCUGUGCUGGGCUCUGCCUUUUGGGCAGCUCACCGGCCACUCCCCAGAAGCAGAGCAUUCUUUCCUUUCUCUUUUUAAAUCCACGUCAUCAUCUGAUCAUAAUGGAAAUCAAUCUCAAGUCACCACGCAAAGGCGUAUCCAUGGCAACAUCAAGAGGAAGGACACAGAAAUGAUGCUCCAGUGGCUGCAGCAGGAAAAGGAAACCUGUAGCUUGGAAUGGGUUCAGGGGUGCCUUGGACGCUCCCAGGAAAGGAGUGGAACACUUGCAGUUCUGGAGGAAUUCGGAGAGGCAAUCACUCGACCCCGGGAGAACACCACACCGCAGGCUGAAGAGCUCAGCACUCUUCAUUUCAGAAAGAAGGUCACAGCUGAUAACUUCAGGGACACCAGACCCGGUUGCUGAUGACGCCAGCUUUGGCCAUGAAUUUGCAGAAGAAAAGAAAUGCAAGACCUUAAUUACUUUGAGCCUUAUCACCUACCCCAGACCACGAGCCCCAACCUAUAAAAACCUUUCCCUAUGGGGGGGUGGGGGGGCACAGUUCUUGAGACUCUAGCCUGCUGUGUUCCCCCUUUUGCCUAGCAAAGAAUAAAGCUACUUUUUCUCCUUCCUCCAAAACUCCGUCUCCGUAUUUCUUUUCGGCAUUGUUGCACAGAAAGCCAAGAUUUUGGCAUCACGGCCAGGCAACCCAGCUUCGCGAAGAUUCGUGGCAUGCUGUGGCCCGCAGGCACCCAGCACGCGCCCGCCCCGCUGCCAAGAUGCCCAAGAGGAAGGUCAGCUCUGCCGAGGGGGCAGAGAAGGAGGAGCCCAAGCUUCUGCAAAAGUGGAAACGAAGCCAAAAAGGUGGAAGGAAAGGAUAAAUCUUCAGGCAAAAAAGUGCAAACAAAGGGGAAAAGGGAGCAAGGGGAAAACAGGCUGAAGUGGCUCACCAAGAGACUAAAGAAGACUUACCUGCAGAAAACGGAGAAAAUAAAAAUGAGGAGAGGCCAGCCUCUGAUGAAGCAGGAAAGAAAGAAGCCAAGUCUGAUUAAUAUCAAACACCCGGUCCUAUCAGUGGUCCCUGUCUCCCUUCUUGUACAAUCCAGAGGAAUAUUUUUAUCAACUAUUGUGUAAAUGCAAGUUUUUUAGUAGCUCUAAAAACAUUUUUAAAAAGGAGGGAAUCCCACUUCAUCUCAUUUUUUAAGUGUGUGACAGGGAAGAGCUAAAUCGGACUCCACAUUGGAUCUGUUUCUUUGACUUUAACCUUUGAUUUUCAUUGCUUUUGUUAUUAUAAUGAUACAUAAUGGCCUGCCUCAGAAAACCCUGCCCACCUGUGAAUGGCUGCAAGAAAAAAGAAACUAACACAUCCCCUCACUGAGGCUGGUCAUUCCAGGAGAUGUUUUGCAAGACUGAUGGCCCUUUUACUUUCCUUCCUCACCGCCUCUCCCUCUCUGAUUCUAUAAAAGAAACUGGCAUCCAGACCCAGAUAAGAUGGUUUAUCGGAGACACUAGUCUGCCAUCUUCUCGGUCUGCCGGCUGUCCGAAUAAAGUCGUAUUCCUUACCUCAACACCUCGUCUCUGAUUCUUUGGCCUGUCGUGCGGCGAGCAGAGCGAGCUUGGACUUGGCAACAAAUUUAGUGAGCCAACGAGGAGCCUUGCUCUUGUCUAACCAACCCUGGUCAGGGAAUAUUGAGGCAAGGCCCUAGCAGCUGCCAGGACCAUUUGUCCUGAGGAUCUUCCCUUCAAAAUUCCCUGAAGCGGCACUGGCUAUCCCAGCACUUGGCAGUUGAAGCAAGGAACCAACAAACUUCAAUUUGGUGCUACGAGUCAAUGGACUCGAUUCG
Long non-coding RNA from Balaenoptera acutorostrata (minke whale), 1852 nucleotides. RefSeq lists it as uncharacterized. The record is from RefSeq and is a predicted model, not a curated record. The transcript is spliced from 3 exons. Lineage: Eukaryota; Metazoa; Chordata; Mammalia; Artiodactyla; Balaenopteridae.